This is a long non-coding RNA of Bubalus bubalis (water buffalo), 809 nucleotides long. RefSeq lists it as uncharacterized. Lineage: Eukaryota; Metazoa; Chordata; Mammalia; Artiodactyla; Bovidae. The record is from RefSeq and is a predicted model, not a curated record. The transcript has 2 exons.
GAAGCAUGUGUUCUUGUGUGAAUAGGGAGGUGAGAGAGGACCAGAGGAGGUGAAGGCAGUUGGGGUGGGGAGAUGAAGGGAGCAGGUGUCUGAGGGAGACGGUGGCAGCUGCGGCAGGAACACCUGAGGGACCGGGGCCAGGUGCAGCAAAGAACACAAGGUGUGGAUUUCAGGUUUCAUAAAGGAGGCAGAUGGAGUGACACAUUAUCUGGUAUUGUGAUGGGGUGGAACAUGAGAGAAGGAGAAGGUUGUGGGAAUUCAGGUGGUUCAAGAACUGAGAGCUUAGAGUUGAAGCUCAAGUUGCUAGUACUCCUGGGGAAGGAACAAUGACAACAUCAGAUUAUCUUAAAACCAGAAGGAAAUGAGGGAAGAAACACAGUGAUCCGGAGCUGAAGCGCAGCCACGAGGAGCCAGAAAACGGAGGAGGGUGACUGUUCUGCUGAAGAUUGUACCUUCUAAUUCAGAAAACUUAGUCACCAGACUGAGAACAGAUAACAAGAGUAGGAGGAAGGACUGGGGAGUGUGGGGAAACGUUUCACAAAGCUCUGAAAUCCGCAGCAUGCAGAGCAAGCUCUUGACAAACUCGCAGCCUUCUGGAACCUUCGGAAAAUGAAAAUCCAACUCAUAGGAUAAAGCAAAUAGCCCCACUGGGUAUUUCACAGAGCAUAUCUAACUAACACCCAUCGAAGCUCUGAACAGUGGAGAUGGUUCUAAAAGCAUCAUCUACCCCUAGGCAAGAUUAUAUUCAGUCCUCGAAUAAUCUCUAAAAUGUGGCUCCAUUUUGAAAAUCACCAUUUUGUGCCUAAAUG